This 483-nucleotide ribosomal RNA is filed under the name uncultured bacterium. RNAcentral's name for it is "partial 16S ribosomal RNA". It matches the Rfam family "Bacterial small subunit ribosomal RNA", at positions 28 to 507 of the family's 1533-position model. The record is from RNAcentral.
AUUGAACGCUGGCGGCAUGCUUUACACAUGCAAGUCGAACGGCAGCGCGGGCUUCGGCCUGGCGGCGAGUGGCGACGGGUGAGUAAUGCAUCGGAACGUGCCCAGUAGUGGGGGAUAGCCCGGCGAAAGCCGGAUUAAUACCGCAUACGACCUGAGGGUGAAAGCGGGGGACCGAAAGGCCUCGCGCUAUUGGAGCGGCCGAUGUCGGAUUAGCUAGUUGGUGGGGUAAAGGCUUACCAAGGCGACGAUCCGUAGCUGGUCUGAGAGGACGACCAGCCACACGGGGACUGAGACACGGACCAGACUCCUACGGGAGGCAGCAGUGGGGAAUUUUGGACAAUGGGGGCAACCCUGAUCCAGCCAUGCCGCGUGCGGGAAGAAGGCCUUCGGGUUGUAAACCGCUUUUGUUCGGGAAGAAAUCCUCUGGGCUAAUACCCCGGGGGGAUGACGGUACCGGAAGAAUAAGCACCGGCUAACUACGUG